This 934-nucleotide long non-coding RNA is filed under the name Coffea arabica (coffee). RNAcentral describes it as "long non-coding RNA (CARA_LNC002196)". The record is from RNAcentral. Lineage: Eukaryota; Viridiplantae; Streptophyta; Magnoliopsida; Gentianales; Rubiaceae.
UCUCCUUCAAAAACUAGGGCAAGCACAAAACACCUCUCGAUACCUCUACCACUCUCCCUCUCCUAUCUUUUUUUUUUUCUCUCCAAAUCUCCAAACUCUCAUCACAUCCUUCCUUUCUCUUUCCCAUUCCAUGUUCCUUUUUUUAUAAUUCCAAGUUCUUCUCUUUCCUCUCAUUCUUUCCUUCAAUUGCUAACAUAUUUCCUUAGAAUCUCUUGAAACUUCAAAACCUACAGAUGAUUGAAGAACCACCACAAGUGCACAUUUGUAGGUGGAAAAUGUACUUCUCGUGAAAUGGUGGAGUCUCAUUACUUGAUUUAAGGUCAUCAUCGAAUCUGGUUUUGUUUCUUUUAACGUUUACAAGUGAUUUUUCCUUUCCUCUUGAUUUUAUUUUUCUUGCUAGCUUGUAAAGAUCACCAGAUUUCAAUUUCCACUUAAAUGUUACCAGUAGUAUAUGUGUGUUCCAAACAUUUGUACUUUUAAAAUGUUUCAUUAUCCCUCUUACGAGAGUAAUCUUGCAGCAAUCUUUGAAUCAAUUUUGCAAAGGGGGGCUUCCAAAUUAGCUAUUUCGUUCUUCUAGAGUGAGUACGAUUCGGAUGUUUUGUACUAAUUUUAGGGUUUCUUUUAUAUAUAGUCUCUCUUUCCCAUAUGGAUUAAGUUUCACUGUUCGUAAAUGUUGGAGCAAUUUUCUCAUUUGACUUCACCAUUGAUUAGAUUUGGUAAUGUUGGAAUUAAGGAGGCUGUUAGAGAUGUUAACUCCAACUUCACUUGCCUUGUAAGGACGAAACUUCUUAUUGAGAUGCAGAGUUCAAAUCACAGUGGAAUGGUUAGGAUGGUUGGAAGUGGUUUUUUAUAGUUGUUUUUCCGAAGAUUUCUUUUUAGACAUUUUUCAUUCUCCUAUUAUAUUAUUUUAUAUGCUAAGAAAAUCUUUGGGGGG